AGCAGCCGCGGUAAUUCCAGCUCCAAUAGCGUAUAUUAAAGUUGUUGCAGUUAAAAAGCUCGUAGUUGAAUUUCGGGAUUGGCGCAUCGGUCGUGCCUCACGGGGUAUGAACUGGUGCAGUCAAUUUCUCACCUUCUGGAGAACCGCGAUGUCCUUAAUUGGAUGCCGCGGGGAACCAGGACCUUUACUUUGAAAAAAUUAGAGUGUUUAAAGCAGGCAUUUUUGCUUGAAUACAUUAGCAUGGAAUAAUAAAAUAGGACGGCAUGGUUCUAUUUUGUUGGUUUCUAGGACCACCGUAAUGAUUAAUAGGGAUAGUUGGGGGCAUUAGUAUUCAAUUGUCAGAGGUGAAAUUCUUGGAUUUAUUGAAGACUAACUACUGCGAAAGCAUUUGCCAAGGAUGUUCUCAUUAAUCAAGAACGAAAGUUAGGGGAUCGAAGACGAUCAGAUACCGUCGUAGUCUUAACCAUAAACUAUGCCGACUAGGAAUCAGACGAUGUUAAUUUUUUAAUGACUCGUUGGC
This 520-nucleotide ribosomal RNA is filed under the name uncultured Entrophospora. RNAcentral describes it as "SSU rRNA". It matches the Rfam family "Eukaryotic small subunit ribosomal RNA", at positions 569 to 1084 of the family's 1831-position model. The record is from RNAcentral. Lineage: Eukaryota; Fungi; Glomeromycota; Glomeromycetes; Entrophosporales; Entrophosporaceae.